This 361-nucleotide ribosomal RNA is filed under the name Haemaphysalis leachi. RNAcentral describes it as "partial large subunit ribosomal RNA". The record is from RNAcentral. Lineage: Eukaryota; Metazoa; Arthropoda; Arachnida; Ixodida; Ixodidae.
AACCUUUAUUGAGUGCUAAGAGAAUGGACUUUCAAAAAGAUGCUUUUUUAGAUUUAAAAAUUGAAGUUAUUUUUAUAUGUGAAGAAACAAUAAUAAAAAUUAGGGACAAGAAGACCCUAUGAAUUUUUAUAAAUUCUUUAAAAAAUUUUUUAAAGAAUUUAUUUAAUUGGGGCGAUUAAUAAAUAUAUUUAACUUUUUUUUUAAAAAAAAAUGAUCCAUUAUUAAUGAUUAAAGAGGUAAAUACCUAGGGAUAACAGCGUAAUAAUUUUAGAUAGAUCUUAUAGAAAAAAUAGUUUGCGACCUCGAUGUUGGAUUAGAUUCUUAUAAUAAUAACUUAAGCUCGCUAGCUCGCCGCUGUCAU